Molecule: ribosomal RNA, 1280 nt
Filed under: Salmonella enterica subsp. enterica
Lineage: Bacteria; Pseudomonadati; Pseudomonadota; Gammaproteobacteria; Enterobacterales; Enterobacteriaceae
Description: bacterial LSU rRNA
Rfam family: Bacterial large subunit ribosomal RNA
Source: RNAcentral
GGGUUGUGAGGUUAAGCGACUAAGCGUACACGGUGGAUGCCCUGGCAGUCAGAGGCGAUGAAGGACGUGCUAAUCUGCGAUAAGCGCCGGUAAGGUGAUAUGAACCGUUAUAACCGGCGAUACCCGAAUGGGGAAACCCAGUGUGACUCGUCACACUAUCAUUAACUGAAUCCAUAGGUUAAUGAGGCGAACCGGGGGAACUGAAACAUCUAAGUACCCCGAGGAAAAGAAAUCAACCGAGAUUCCCCCAGUAGCGGCGAGCGAACGGGGAGGAGCCCAGAGCCUGAAUCAGCAUGUGUGUUAGUGGAAGCGUCUGGAAAGGCGCGCGAUACAGGGUGACAGCCCCGUACACAAAAGCGCAUGUGCUGUGAGCUCGAUGAGUAGGGCGGGACACGUGGUAUCCUGUCUGAAUAUGGGGGGACCAUCCUCCAAGGCUAAAUACUCCUGACUGACCGAUAGUGAACCAGUACCGUGAGGGAAAGGCGAAAAGAACCCCGGCGAGGGGAGUGAAAAAGAACCUGAAACCGUGUACGUACAAGCAGUGGGAGCCCCACCACCAAAGCAUUCUCUGGUGUUGAAGGCCCUGCAAAGCAGCAUCGCGGUGGCGGAGCGUCGUUUGCGACGCCCAACACACAAAACAAGCGGUGAGUGCUUUGGGGUGGGGUGACUGCGUACCUUUUGUAUAAUGGGUCAGCGACUUAUAUUCUGUAGCAAGGUUAACCGUAUAGGGGAGCCGUAGGGAAACCGAGUCUUAACCGGGCGUUAAGUUGCAGGGUAUAGACCCGAAACCCGGUGAUCUAGCCAUGGGCAGGUUGAAGGUUGGGUAACACUAACUGGAGGACCGAACCGACUAAUGUUGAAAAAUUAGCGGAUGACCUGUGGCUGGGGGUGAAAGGCCAAUCAAACCGGGAGAUAGCUGGUUCUCCCCGAAAGCUAUUUAGGUAGCGCCUCGUGAAUUCAUCUCCGGGGGUAGAGCACUGUUUCGGCUAGGGGGCCAUCCCGGCUUACCAACCCGAUGCAAACUGCGAAUACCGGAGAAUGUUAUCACGGGAGACACACGGCGGGUGCUAACGUCCGUCGUGAAGAGGGAAACAACCCAGACCGCCAGCUAAGGUCCCAAAGUCAUGGUUAAGUGGGAAACGAUGUGGGAAGGCCCAGACAGCCAGGAUGUUGGCUUAGAAGCAGCCAUCAUUUAAAGAAAGCGUAAUAGCUCACUGGUCGAGUCGGCCUGCGCGGAAGAUGUAACGGGGCUAAACCAUGCACCGAAGCUGCGGCAGCGA